UAAGUGAAGAGUUUGAUCCUGGCUCAGAGUGAACGCUGGCGGUAGGCCUAACACAUGCAAGUCGAACGGCAGCACAGGAGAGCUUGCUCUCUGGGUGGCGAGUGGCGGACGGGUGAGGAAUACAUCGGAAUCUACUCUGUCGUGGGGGAUAACGUAGGGAAACUUACGCUAAUACCGCAUACGA
RNAcentral lists this ribosomal RNA (184 nucleotides) under Stenotrophomonas maltophilia. RNAcentral describes it as "partial 16S ribosomal RNA". It matches the Rfam family "Bacterial small subunit ribosomal RNA", at positions 1 to 178 of the family's 1533-position model. Lineage: Bacteria; Pseudomonadati; Pseudomonadota; Gammaproteobacteria; Lysobacterales; Lysobacteraceae. The record is from RNAcentral.